RNAcentral lists this ribosomal RNA (508 nucleotides) under uncultured bacterium. RNAcentral describes it as "partial 16S ribosomal RNA". It matches the Rfam family "Bacterial small subunit ribosomal RNA", at positions 28 to 523 of the family's 1533-position model. The record is from RNAcentral.
GACGAACGCUGGCGGCGUGCCUAAUACAUGCAAGUCGAGCGGACUUUAUCCUUCGGGGUAAGGUUAGCGGCGGACGGGUGAGUAACACGUAGGCAACCUGCCUGUAAGACCGGGAUAACAUUCGGAAACGGAUGCUAAUACCGGAUAUGCAACUUGGCUGCAUGGCUGAGUUGGGAAAGACGGCGCAAGCUGUCACUUACAGAUGGGCCUGCGGUGCAUUAGCUAGUUGGUGAGGUAACGGCUCACCAAGGCGACGAUGCAUAUCCGACCUGAGAGGGUGAUCGGCCACACUGGGACUGAGACACGGCCCAGACUCCUACGGGAGGCAGCAGUAGGGAAUCUUCCGCAAUGGACGAUAGUCUGACGGAGCAACGCCGCGUGAGUGAUGAAGGUUUUCGGAUCGUAAAGCUCUGUUGCCAGGGAAGAACAGCCAGGAGAGUAACUGCUCUUGGAAUGACGGUACCUGAGAAGAAAGCCCCGGCUAACUACGUGCCAGCCGCCGCUGUAA